This 253-nucleotide ribosomal RNA is filed under the name uncultured bacterium. RNAcentral's name for it is "partial 16S ribosomal RNA". It matches the Rfam family "Bacterial small subunit ribosomal RNA", at positions 524 to 776 of the family's 1533-position model. The record is from RNAcentral.
UACAGAGGUCUCAAGCGUUGUUCGGAUUCAUUGGGCGUAAAGGGUGCGUAGGCGGUUUGGUAAGUCUUGUGUGAAAUCUUCGGGCUCAACUCGAAGUCUGCACGAGAAACUGCCGGGCUCGAGUUUGGUAGAGGCAGAUGGAAUUCCGGGUGUAGCGGUGGAAUGCGUAGAGAUCCGGAAGAACACCGGUGGCGAAGGCGGUCUGCUGGGCCAAGACUGACGCUGAGGCGCGACAGCGUGGGGAGCAAACAGG